Grammomys surdaster is the source of this 143-nucleotide small nucleolar RNA. RefSeq annotates it as small nucleolar RNA SNORA48. The record is from RefSeq and is a predicted model, not a curated record. The transcript has a single exon. NCBI's taxonomy places the organism in Eukaryota, Metazoa, Chordata, Mammalia, Rodentia, Muridae.
UCCCCCAGCAAUGAGCAAAACAUCAUCUUGCUGUUGAUGUUGUUUUUAUAUCAGUCAGAGGCAGAGUAGAUUACAGCUCUUUGUUCAUCCUAGCUUGAUGCCUGUCUUGGUGACCAAAGCUCUCUUAUGCCUAGGACUCAUGA